RNAcentral lists this non-coding RNA (688 nucleotides) under Ictidomys tridecemlineatus (thirteen-lined ground squirrel). Lineage: Eukaryota; Metazoa; Chordata; Mammalia; Rodentia; Sciuridae. The record is from Rfam by way of RNAcentral.
GGGAAUGAGCAUAUUAUUUGUUUGCAAAAAAGAGGGAUGAAAUGGUGAUUUGGUGACCCAAUGGAUGGACUAUAGCAUAGAAUUCAAAGUUAUCACCAGACCUGCUUUCUUAUAAUUCAUGAUAGCUAAGAUCCAAACUGGGAUUAGAUACCCCACUAUGCUUAGCCCUAAACAUAAACAUUCAACAAACAAGAAUGUUCGCCAGAGUACUACUAGCAAUGGCCUAAAAGUCAAAGGAGUUGGCAGUACUUUACAUCACUCUAGAGGAGCCUAUUCUAUAAUUGAUAAGCCCUGAUAUACCUCACCACCUUUAGCAUUUAUCAGCCUACAUACUGCCAUCUUCAGCAAAUCCUAACAAGGUCUUAGAGUAAGCAAGAGAAUUUUACAUUAAUACAUUAGUCAAGGUGUAGCCUAUAAGGUGGAAAGUAAUGGGCUACAUUUUCUACCUCCUAGAACAAAUCUUCACCACAGCUUUUAUGAAACUUAAAAGCCCAAGGCAGAUUUAGUAGUAAGUUAAGAAUAGAAAGCUUACUGAAUUGGGCAAUAAAGUACGCACACACUGCUCGUCACCCUCUUCAAAUAUAAUUACACAAAACGUGAUACAUAAUCCACUUGAUUAGACUGUAUGAGAAGAGAUAAGUCAUAACAAGGUAGACAUACUGGAAAGUGUGUUUGGAAUAAUCAAAAU